This is a long non-coding RNA of Oncorhynchus tshawytscha (Chinook salmon), 1641 nucleotides long. NCBI's taxonomy places the organism in Eukaryota, Metazoa, Chordata, Actinopteri, Salmoniformes, Salmonidae. The record is from Ensembl.
AGAAAAGUUGAAAAAACUAACCCUCCGUUACAUCUUGACGUGUCAUGUCGUAACGUACAGCACACAUAAAGCAACUAUUUCUGUCUUACAAUCUCUCUCCACCAGGUAUAGUACUUCUAUCAUCCUUUAAAAACAAGAAAUGGACAGUGACGGGGGUAAGGGGGGAUACCUAGUCAUUUUUUUCGUCAUCAUUGCAUGCGAUCAUCAUUCUCAAAGCCGCUGUUUACUUCUAAGAUCACUUUAGCACCGCCCUAAAAACCCGAUUCAAAUUCGACACAAACCUUCAAAUAGGUAUGUAAUGAUACAUUAUAUAAACUCUUUAUAGUGUUUUAUUUACAUUUUAGAGGCGAUAAGGUGAUAAGUUGGACAGAUCGAGUGAAAAAAAGCAAUUUUCCCACACAACAUCUCUCCUUCUCACUAUCACGCAAUAGUUUUGCUUCCCCACCCGCCAUUUUUAAAAAGACCCGACGGGGCUCAUUGCCUGCUUGAAUUAUGCAGAAACAGGCAGCGUUUAGGACAUGUAAUUGAUUCUGUUGGAAAGGGGAGAAAUUGUGCUUUACAAUGGUAUUGACGUUACAGUUGAUCUGGAAGUAUUACUUUUUGGGGGCGCUAAAAUAAGGGCAAUUGUACGGACCAAGGCGAUGUACGAGUUUACGUUAAUUGUUGAGGGACCACUUGUCACAUUGUCUAAGGUGGGUUUGUGUUAUGAAAAACAAUCCGUUUUCAGUCCAGAUGAAGAUGGUGAUACAGCAUUGAAACAGACCUACCUCUGACCAAAUGUCUCUUUGUUUUCCAACAGAAGUACAUCCCUCAGACCAUCCGGUGCAUGGACAUCCUGUGCCAGUGUGAUCCGAGUACAUGAGGCGUAAAUGCGUAACAUUAAGCAGUGCAGGAUCAACGCUUCCCUAACCAGGGAGAGCUGCUGGAAGUGAUGUACUCUCUCACUCUGGUGGAAAGACAUUUAAACAUCAUGAAUUCCCACUAUGCCCAUGAUAAAAUGCAACGUUAAUUGUGCUGUACUGAAUGAGACUGAGGAGAUGCAAUCCAACCAGGCUUUGUGAUUGAAAUAGUUUAACAACAUUAUUUUAGUUCAAAUCAAAUCAAAUGUUAUUUGUCACAUACACAUGGUUAGCAGAUGUUAAUGAGAGUGUAGCAAAAUGCUUGUGUUUCUAGUUCCGACCAUGCAGUAAUAUCUAACAAGUAAUCUAACCUAACAAUUUCACAACAACUACCUUAUAUACACAAGUGUAAAGGAAUUAAUAAGAAUAUGUACAUAAAAAUAUAUGAAUGAAAGAUGGCCGAACGGCAUAGGCAAGAUGCAGUAGAUGGUAUAGAGUACAGUUUAAAUACUGUACUUGGUUUUUGUUUUUGUUUUAAAUGGCUUGGUUUUUGUUUUACAUGCACUGUCAACUGUGGGACCUUAUAUAGACAGGUGUGUGCCUUUCCAAAUCAUGUCCAAUCAUUUUAAUUUAACACAGGUGGACUCCAAACAAGUUGUAGAAACAUCUCAAGGAUGGUCAAUGGAGUUUAAUUUCGAGUCUCUUAGCAAAGGGUCUGAAUACUAAUGAAAAUAAGUUAUUUCAGUUUGUGUUUUUUUAAAUGUGCAAAAAUGUAAAAAAUAAAAAUAAAAAAUAAACUGUU